RNAcentral lists this ribosomal RNA (466 nucleotides) under uncultured bacterium. RNAcentral's name for it is "partial 16S ribosomal RNA". It matches the Rfam family "Bacterial small subunit ribosomal RNA", at positions 29 to 507 of the family's 1533-position model. The record is from RNAcentral.
ACGAACGCUGGCGGCGUGCUUAACCCCUGCAAGUCGAACGGAAAGGCCUCUUUCGGGGGGUACUCGAGUGGCGAACGGGUGAGUAACACGUGAGUAACCUGCCCUUGACUUUGGGAUAACUUCAGGAAACUGGGGCUAAUACCGGAUAGGAGCUCCUGCUGCAUGGUGGGGGUUGGAAAGUUUCGGCGGUUGGGGAUGGACUCGCGGCUUAUCAGCUUGUUGGUGGGGUAGUGGCUUACCAAGGCUUUGACGGGUAGCCGGCCUGAGAGGGUGACCGGCCACAUUGGGACUGAGAUACGGCCCAGACUCCUACGGGAGGCAGCAGUGGGGAAUAUUGCACAAUGGGUGGAAGCCUGAUGCAGCAACGCCGUGUGCGGGAUGACGGCCUUCGGGUUGUAAACCGCUUUCGCUCAUGACGAAGCUUUGUGUGACGGUAGUGGGUAAAGAAGCACCGGCUAACUACGUG